RNAcentral lists this unclassified non-coding RNA (167 nucleotides) under soil metagenome. Its description in RNAcentral is "partial internal transcribed spacer 1". The record is from RNAcentral.
CCUUUCAAUGCAGAAGAGUUGAGGUGGUUGAGUAUCUCGCCCCUCCACUCUCGCUGUAUUUUACCCUUAUUUUUCUCAUACUAUUAUUUCCUCGGCAGGCCAGCCUGCCGGGUGAAACAACUUCAAACCUGUUUAAUUUUCAAUCAGCGUCUGAACAAAUCAUAAUA